This 433-nucleotide ribosomal RNA is filed under the name uncultured bacterium. Its description in RNAcentral is "partial 16S ribosomal RNA". It matches the Rfam family "Bacterial small subunit ribosomal RNA", at positions 29 to 507 of the family's 1533-position model. The record is from RNAcentral.
AACGAACGCUGGCGGCAUGCCUAACACAUGCAAGUCGAACGAGACCUUCGGGUCUAGUGGCGCACGGGUGCGUAACGCGUGGGAACCUGCCCUUAGGUUCGGAAUAACUCCCCGAAAGGGGUGCUAAUACCGGAUAAUGUCUUCGGACCAAAGAUUUAUCGCCUUUGGGUGGGCCCGCGUUGGAUUAGCUAGUUGGUAGGGUAAAAGCCUACCAAGGCGACGAUCCAUAGCUGGUCUGAGAGGAUGAUCAGCCACACUGGGACUGAGACACGGCCCAGACCCCGAGGGGGGGCGGAGGGGGGGAUUAUUGAAAAAGGGGGGAAGGCUGGACCCCGCAUUGCCGCGGGAGGAAAGAGGCCCUUGGGGUUGAAAACCUUUUUUCCCCGGGAGGAAAAUGACAGUCCGGGGAAAAAAAGCCCCGCCUACCCCCGUC